UGUUGAAUUAGGGGCAGUGUAACCAGGGUUUGGGUUUUGAAGUAGUGGGUGUUCAACUUUAGAGUUGUUUUCCUGGAAGCACUGAUACUGGACUUAGUGGAGGAGAAAGAUGAUAUCAAUGUGUUUCUGGAUGACUGCCUGGACAACAGAGUUCAGCUUUUGGGAGAUUGACUGGGCUAUGAAGUGUACCUUUCUACUCUGCAGAGGCUGGAAAGGCAAAAAUGAUGGCUAAGACUUCCUUGCAGCCGCUGAUACAGAAGCCUGAGGGAACACACUCCCCCUACCUCCUUCUCCAACACAGCAGAGCCAGGAAGGACCCGGAUGGAAGUUAGGACAAAGAGGCCCAGAAUUGGCACAUAUACCAACAGACCAUCCGUUGAAGAAGAAAUCCAAAUGGCCACAAGCUUUAAGACUCUGGAGGCCAAGAAUUUGACUUCCCCCAGAUCCAUGGUCUGUGGAUACCAAUGUUCUGACUGGAGACGGGGAGCCAGCGAGAUCCGGGGCUCCAGGGUCUGCCCAAGGAAGUUGCUCAUGGGAGCAGACCUCUAGAGCAGGAUUUGAGGCCAGGUCCAAGAGAACCCCAGAGAUGAAAGGCCUCCUCCCACUGGCUUGGUUCCUGGCUUGUAGUGUGCCUGCUGUGCAAGGAGGCUUGCUGGACCUAAAAUCAAUGAUCGAGAAGGUGACAGGGAAGAAUGCCCUGACAAACUAUGGCUUCUACGGCUGUUAUUGCGGCUGGGGCGGCCGAGGAACCCCCAAGGAUGGCACCGAUUGGUGCUGUUGGAUGCAUGACCACUGCUAUGGGCGGCUGGAAGAGAAGGGCUGCAACAUUCGGACACAGUCCUACAAAUACAGAUUCGCGUGGGGCGUGGUCACCUGCGAGCCCGGGCCCUUCUGCCAUGUGCAGCUCUGUGCCUGUGACCGGAAGCUCGUCUACUGCCUCAAGAGAAACCUACGGAGCUAUAACCCACAGUACCAAUACUUUCCCAACAUCCUCUGCUCCUAGGCCUCCCCAGCGAGCUCCUCCCAGACCAAGACUUUUGUUCUGUUUUUCUACAACACAGAGUACUGACUCUUCCUGGUUCCUGAGAGAG
Molecule: small RNA, 1091 nt
Filed under: Pongo abelii (Sumatran orangutan)
Lineage: Eukaryota; Metazoa; Chordata; Mammalia; Primates; Hominidae
Description: processed transcript
Source: RNAcentral